GGGUUGUGAGGUUAAGCGACUAAGCGUACACGGUGGAUGCCCUGGCAGUCAGAGGCGAUGAAGGGCGUGCUAAUCUGCGAUAAGCGCCGGUAAGGUGAUAUGAACCGUUAUAACCGGCGAUACCCGAAUGGGGAAACCCAGUGUGACUCGUCACACUAUCAUUAACUGAAUCCAUAGGUUAAUGAGGCGAACCGGGGGAACUGAAACAUCUAAGUACCCCGAGGAAAAGAAAUCAACCGAGAUUCCCCCAGUAGCGGCGAGCGAACGGGGAGGAGCCCAGAGCCUGAAUCAGCAUGUGUGUUAGUGGAAGCGUCUGGAAAGGCGCGCGAUACAGGGUGACAGCCCCGUACACAAAAGCGCAUGUGCUGUGAGCUCGAUGAGUAGGGCGGGACACGUGGUAUCCUGUCUGAAUAUGGGGGGACCAUCCUCCAAGGCUAAAUACUCCUGACUGACCGAUAGUGAACCAGUACCGUGAGGGAAAGGCGAAAAGAACCCCGGCGAGGGGAGUGAAAAAGAACCUGAAACCGUGUACGUACAAGCAGUGGGAGCCCCACCACCAAAGCAUUUGCUGUACCGCGUUGACGGAGCGAAGCG
Molecule: ribosomal RNA, 594 nt
Filed under: Salmonella enterica
Lineage: Bacteria; Pseudomonadati; Pseudomonadota; Gammaproteobacteria; Enterobacterales; Enterobacteriaceae
Also listed under: 1 other name
Description: partial 23S ribosomal RNA
Rfam family: Bacterial large subunit ribosomal RNA
Source: RNAcentral